AUACGUAGGGAGCGAGCGUUGUCCGGAAUUACUGGGCGUAAAGGGCGCGUAGGCGGCGCUUCAAGUCGUCUGUCAAAUGGGAGGGCUUAACCCUUUUUCGCAGACGAAACUGGAGAGCUUGAGAAGCAGAGAGGCAAACAGAAUUCCUGGUGUAGCGGUGGAAUGCGUAGAUAUCAGGAAGAAUACCAGUGGCGAAGGCGGUUUGCUGGCUGCAUACUGACGCUGAAGCGCGAAAGCCAGGGGAGCAAACGGGAUUAGAUACCCCGGUAGUCCUGGUAGUAAACGAUGUAUGCUGGGUGUGAGACUAGCGAUAGUUUCGUGCCGAAGUUAACGCGAUAAGCAUACCGCCUGGGGAGUACGGUCGCAAGAUUGAAACUCAAAUGAAUUGACGGGG
RNAcentral lists this ribosomal RNA (394 nucleotides) under uncultured bacterium. RNAcentral describes it as "partial 16S ribosomal RNA". It matches the Rfam family "Bacterial small subunit ribosomal RNA", at positions 523 to 918 of the family's 1533-position model. The record is from RNAcentral.